CAGAACCUUACUACCCUUGACAUGUCUAGUAUGGUUUCCAGAGAUGGAUUCCUUCAGUUCGGCUGGCUAGAACACAGGUGCUGCAUGGCUGUCGUCAGCUCGUGUCGUGAGAUGUUGGGUUAAGUCCCGCAACGAGCGCAACCCUCAUCCUUAGUUGCCAUCACGUUUGGGUGGGCACUCUAAGGAAACUGCCGGUGGCAAGCCGGAGGAAGGUGGGGAUGACGUCAAGUCCUCAUGGCCCUUACGGGUAGGGCUACACACGUGCUACAAUGGCAGUGACAAUGGGAUAAUCCCAAAAAGCUGUCUCAGUUCGGAUUGUCGUCUGCAACUCGACGGCAUGAAGGUGGAAUCGCUAGUAAUCGUGGAUCAGCAUGCCACGGUGAAUACGUUCCCGGGCCUU
Molecule: ribosomal RNA, 400 nt
Filed under: uncultured Hyphomonas sp.
Lineage: Bacteria; Pseudomonadati; Pseudomonadota; Alphaproteobacteria; Hyphomonadales; Hyphomonadaceae
Description: bacterial SSU rRNA
Rfam family: Bacterial small subunit ribosomal RNA
Source: RNAcentral